Long non-coding RNA from Juglans microcarpa x Juglans regia, 1674 nucleotides. RefSeq lists it as uncharacterized. The transcript has 2 exons. The record is from RefSeq and is a predicted model, not a curated record. Lineage: Eukaryota; Viridiplantae; Streptophyta; Magnoliopsida; Fagales; Juglandaceae.
AUGGCGAACUCUUCUAGACUCCAGCCUUCUUCAUUUCUCCCCCUCACCCAUUCACCCUUCGACCUUCAUCCACCCAUAACUCCCACACAAAAUAAACAGAGCCCCUGAUUUGCCCCACGCUACUGUGCUGGUCACUGGUUUCCACCACCUAGUCACUAAUCACCAUCAUGCCUGCUAAAAUGAACACUUCAAAAGAAACACUUUUGGAAGACUCUAACAUGGAUAAUGCUUAAGAUGCAGCACAAGGGCAAAGCAUUCCUCCACUUCCACCCAAUAUAAGUACAAAAUCGAGUAAUAGUGAACCUAGUGGUGGAUGUAGAACUACGUCAAUGGUUUGAGAUCACUUCACAAGAAUACCAAAAAGUGAUCCAAGUAAACUUAAGGCUACAUGUAAUUAUUGUAGUGCCUAUUAUACAUGUGAUACGAAGGUGAACCGUACAAAAUCUAUGAAGUAUCACAUUGAACAUCAAUUUAAGAGAUGUCUAUUUAAUAGUAUGGAUAAGUCCUGAACUACCUUGGGUUGGAAGGUCAAGGAUGGAGGAAGUAGUAGUGGGGGACUUGUUCUUAUAGCCUUUAGUGUUGAGGCUUGCAGACAAGACCUAACAGAAAUAAUUAUACUUGAUGAGUUGUUAUUUAAGUUUAUUGAAGGGGAGAGUUUUAAAAUAUUUAUAUUUGUUGUUCAACUUAAGUGGGUAUGGACCUCGUCUCGUGCUACGAUUGCCAAUGAUUGUUAGUGUCUAUUUGACAACAAAAAAAUAAGUGAAGAAGUACUCUUCAAGGGCAACAGAUUUCCAUUACCACGGAUUCAUAGAUAUAUGUGCAAAACCUAAACUACAUGUGUCUUAUUGCACAUUUCAUUAAUGAUGAUUGGAAACUACAUAAGAAGAUCCUCUUUUUUGGUUUAGUUGAAUAUCACAAGAGUGAUACCCUUGGUAAGCCUAUAGAGAUGUGCUUGAUUGAUUGAGAGUGGCCAAAAAUACUUGCAAUCACUCUUGAUAAUAAAAAUUCGAACAAUAGAGCAGUGUGAAAAAGAGAUGAUACUAUUUUGGAACAUGAAUUCUUGGAUGUGAGAUGUUGUGCCAACAUCUUAAUCUUAAUUGUUUGUGAGGGAUUGAAAGAAUAUGAUGAGUCUAUUGCCAAUGUGAGAGGUGUUAUGAAAUAUAUUAAAUCCUCUCUACAAAGAUGGAGUGCAUUUAAGUUGUGUAUAUAAUUUGAAGACAUUAUGUGCAAAAGUUAUGUAUGCCUAGAUGUGCCAACUAGGUGAAACUCCAUCUGUCUUAUGUUGGAGAGGGUUAAAGAUUUUGGAAAGCCUUUUGAACGGCUAGAGUAAGAAUAUAUGGGGUUCCCAUCUAGUAUUGGAGAUGAGAGUGAUGAUGAUGGAAUGAGAAAGGAGAACAUCAAAGAAGUUAGAGCCUCCCAACAAGGAUGAUUGGGAAAAAGUAAGAUUGUUUGUGAGAUUUUUUAGCCAAUUUCAUGAUGCAACUUUACAAUUUUCGGGUUGUCAAUAUGUAACUUGUGACUCUUUUUUUUUUUUAUAGAAUUAGUUACAACUCAAGAUACAAUUGACAUGGAGUGUGAAGAAGUAUGACAUGUGGUAAGGUUAAUAGCAAUAAAUAUUUGACAAAUAUUAGGAUAAAUUUGAUAAUAUGAAUAUGUUGUUGUAUGUUGGACUUA